RNAcentral lists this transfer RNA (74 nucleotides) under Sporolactobacillus sp. THM19-2. Its description in RNAcentral is "tRNA-Arg". It matches the Rfam family "tRNA". Rfam says of the family: Transfer RNA (tRNA) molecules are approximately 80 nucleotides in length. Their secondary structure includes four short double-helical elements and three loops (D, anti-codon, and T loops). Further hydrogen bonds mediate the characteristic L-shaped molecular structure. tRNAs have two regions of fundamental functional importance: the anti-codon, which is responsible for specific mRNA codon recognition, and the 3' end, to which the tRNAs corresponding amino acid is attached (by aminoacyl-tRNA synthetases). tRNAs cope with the degeneracy of the genetic code in two manners: having more than one tRNA (with a specific anti-codon) for a particular amino acid; and 'wobble' base-pairing, i.e. permitting non-standard base-pairing at the 3rd anti-codon position. RNAcentral also lists the same sequence under 1 other name. The record is from RNAcentral. Lineage: Bacteria; Bacillati; Bacillota; Bacilli; Caryophanales; Sporolactobacillaceae.
GUCCAAGUAGCUCAGCUGGAUAGAGCAACGGCCUUCUAAGCCGUGGGUCCAGGGUUCGAAUCCCUGCUUGGGCA